CCCUACGGGGGGCUGCAGUGGGGAAUUUUGGACAAUGGGGGCAACCCUGAUCCAGCCAUGCCGCGUGCAGGAUGAAGGCCUUCGGGUUGUAAACUGCUUUUGUCAGGGACGAAAAGGACCGUGUUAAUACCAUGGUCUGCUGACGGUACCUGAAGAAUAAGCACCGGCUAACUACGUGCCAGCAGCCGCGGUAAUACGUAGGGUGCAAGCGUUAAUCGGAAUUACUGGGCGUAAAGCGUGCGCAGGCGGUUCUGUAAGACAGAUGUGAAAUCCCCGGGCUCAACCUGGGAAUUGCAUUUGUGACUGCAGGACUAGAGUUCAUCAGAGGGGGGUGGAAUUCCAAGUGUAGCAGUGAAAUGCGUAGAUAUUUGGAAGAACACCAAUGGCGAAGGCAGCCCCCUGGGAUGCGACUGACGCUCAUGCACGAAAGCGUGGGGAGCAAACAGGAUUAGAUACCCCUGUAGUC
RNAcentral lists this ribosomal RNA (466 nucleotides) under Clostridioides difficile. Its description in RNAcentral is "bacterial SSU rRNA". It matches the Rfam family "Bacterial small subunit ribosomal RNA", at positions 337 to 795 of the family's 1533-position model. The record is from RNAcentral. Lineage: Bacteria; Bacillati; Bacillota; Clostridia; Peptostreptococcales; Peptostreptococcaceae.